Molecule: RNA transcript, 7963 nt
Organism: Strigops habroptila (Kakapo)
Lineage: Eukaryota; Metazoa; Chordata; Aves; Psittaciformes; Psittacidae
Gene: POMT2
Gene name: protein O-mannosyltransferase 2
Exons: 22
Source: RefSeq, a predicted model, not a curated record
GACUACAUCUCCAUGCGUGCCCCGCGGCCCGCUCACCCGCCCCGGACUCCGUCUCCCGGGCUGCGCCGCGCCCGGCCCGGUGCUGCGGGUCACACAGCCCUGCGGAUGCCGGCGGCGGGGCGCGGCCGGGCCGAACCGGGCCUUCCGCGGCAGCGGGAGUCCCGGGCGCCCCGCCGGCUGCCGGCGCACCCCGCCGCCCCUCCCGCGGCGGCUCGCCCGGCGGCGCUGGCCCUCGUCAUCCUCCUCAGCUUCGCGUCCCGCUUCCACCGCCUGGCGGAGCCGCCGCACGUCUGUUGGGAUGAAACUCAUUUUGGGAAGAUGGGAAGUUACUACAUAAAUCGGACCUUCUUCUUUGAUGUCCACCCCCCUUUGGGGAAGAUGCUGAUUGGACUCGCUGGCUACCUUAGUGGAUAUGAUGGUACAUUUCCUUUCCAAAAGCCAGGGGACAGAUAUGAGCAGCACAACUAUGUGGGAAUGAGAGGGUUCUGUGCUUUCCUUGGCUCCUGCCUGGUUCCGUUGGCCUACCUCACAGUGUUAGAACUGUCAAAGUCACUGCCAGCAGCCUUACUCACAGCUUUCAUCCUUAUUUUUGAUACAGGCUGUAUUACUUUGUCUCAAUAUAUUCUGCUGGAUCCCAUUCUGAUGUUCUUCCUCAUGGGAGCUGUUCUGAGUAUGGUGAAAUGUAACAGCUGUGCGGAUAGGCCAUUUUCUGCCUCCUGGUGGUUCUGGAUGAGUCUCACUGGCGUGAACCUUGCUGGAGCAAUGGGGGUAAAGUUUGUGGGCCUUUUUGUAGUCCUCUUGGUUGGCCUGAACACAAUGUAUGACCUAUGGGACUUGCUGGGGAACCUCAGCCUGUCACUGGUCAUGUUUGGGAAGCAUUUACUGGCUCGUGUACUCUGCCUCAUCCUGCUCCCGCUUGCCCUCUACACGGCUAUGUUUGCUGUUCAUUUUACAGUAUUAAAUAAAAGUGGUCCUGGGGAUGGUUUUUUCAGUUCAGCAUUUCAGUCCCAGCUGAUUGGGAACAAUCUUCAUAACAUCUCCGUUCCAGAGCAUGUGGCAUAUGGAUCUGUGGUCACGAUGAAGAACCUCCGGAUGGCAGGGGGAUACCUUCACUCCCACUGGCACCUCUACCCAGAGGGCAUUGGGGCUCGCCAGCAGCAGGUCACUGCCUACUUACAUAAAGAUUUGAAUAACCUCUGGAUUAUAAAGAAACAUGAUUCAGACACAGCAGAUCCGUCAGACCCCUCGAUCCCUGUGGAGUUUGUGAGGCAUGGAGAUAUUAUUCGUCUGGAACAUAAAGAAACUUCUAGAAAUCUUCACAGUCACCAGCAUGAGGCUCCCCUGACAAGGAAGCAUUUUCAGGUCACUGCUUAUGGAAUAAACGGAACAGGAGACUCCAAUGAUUUUUGGCGGAUUGAAGUGGUGGGCAGACAGGCUGGGAAGCUCAUCAGAGUACUACGGGGUCAAGUCCGGCUAACCCAUGUGGCCACAGGAUGUAUGUUGGGCUCUUCUGGAAAGAUUCUGCCAAAAUGGGGUUGGGAACAAUUGGAAGUCACCUGCACGCCAUACCUGAAGGAGACUCCCAAUUCCCUCUGGAACUUUGAAGAUCAUAUUAACCCUAAGUUGCCCAAUAUCAGCCUGGAUGUUUUGAAGCCCUCUUUUGCAGAAAUUCUGCUAGAAUCCCAUAUGGUUAUGAUCCAGGGAAAUACUGCCCUCAAACCAAAGGACAAUGAAGUUACAUCCAAACCUUGGCACUGGCCCAUCAAUUACCAGGGCCUGCGUUUUUCUGGUGUAAAUGAGACCGAUUAUCGGGUUUAUUUGCUGGGAAACCCGGUGAUUUGGUGGCUAAACCUGGUCACUAUUGGACUAUAUCUUCUCAUAACAGUUUCCGCUGCAGUGGCCCUGAAGAGAGGUGUCCAGCUAACAUCUGAACUCAAAGACCUGUCCAGAGUUGUGCUACGUGGUGGAGGGCAGAUCAUGCUGGGCUGGCUCCUUCAUUACCUCCCUUUUUUUAUGAUGGGGCGAGUUCUCUACUUUCACCACUACUUCCCUGCUAUGCUGUUUUCCAGCAUGUUGACAGGAAUCACCUGGGACACACUACUGAAGUUCUGUGCUAUGUUCUUGUCACCCAGCGCUACAGCUAGAAAAGUAUACGGAGCAGGGUUCCUGGCACUGGUUCUGCUCAUCAUUUACAGCUUCUACCUCUUCCAUCCUCUGUCCUACGGGAUUAUAGGACCCAUGGCCUCUGAUCCUAGCAGCCCCAUGGCAGGGCUCCGGUGGAUGGACUCCUGGGAGUUCUAGAGCCAGCAAAGGGAGUCUGGGAACAGCGAAUGGGAAGCAUGAGAUCUGCUGCGUGUCAGGCUGAUUCUGGUGCUUUGGAGAUAUGAGACAGUAAAAUUCCCUCUCUGGAGAACCCUGUUGCUUUGGCAUUUGUUUGCACUGCCUGCAUUGGAAGAUGCAGAGGAUGACUGUGAGAAGGUCCUCUUAAAAAGACUCAUGUCCUGAAUCCUUAGGUUAUAUUCCUGGACAACUGGCUGCUUAAAUCUCAAUUCUUUUGAGCAAUAUCUAUCAGUCAAACAGCAGUGGCAUUCUAGCAGUCAGACCAGCACAAGUUGGAGGCUGUGUGUAGUUGCAUGAUUGUGUAUGCGUGUGUGUCUACCUUGUAAUCUAAGCACUGUUACAGAGAGACGGUGUCUGGGACAUUAGGAUUUUUACGAUUAACAAUCUUUUUUGACAGCGAGAUUUUUGAAAGCUUCCUUUAAGUAUCUGGGGACCAAUAUUCUUCCCUGCCCUGCUGUCUGUGUUUUUUGUUGUGACCCUGAAUUUUUAAAAUUUGACUGAAGGGGGUCUGCUUGAAACCCCCUGAGCCACUGUGCCUUGCCUGUCUCCCAGGCCCUCUGCAGACAGAGGAAAUGGAGAUAGUUUAUCCCUGUAUACUGCCUUGCUUUUUUGUCACUUUUAAUCAUUUCAUAAUAACCACCUAACAGGCCUGUGCUCAGGGCCACACUGUUCCAGCUCAGCACUUUGUAGCUUCUUCGAAAUUCUGUCUGAAACUGCCAAGGAAAUUGCAGUGGGAAUAGCAGGUAAUUUAUUUUCUGCCCCAGCAUGCUGUGAAGGUCGGACUCCUGGGGGUGUAGUAGAGUCUGAAAUGAUAGCUUGAAAUUUUACAUCAGCUGUCAUUCAUCUUUUGAUCCCAGCUAUUCCAGUGCCAGUACCUGUGCUUUUAGGGGAAAGGCUUCACCUUAAUGAAUGUGGCAUCUGCAUAACUGUCUGUCAGCCCAGUCUGUGGCCAGUAGUGCUAUAGUAUCUGCUCGCUGUAUUCCAAUAUUGAGCAAGUUCCCUCUCAUAGAUGGCUGAACAUCAGAUUACUCUAUUGAAGGAAAGGCGAGGCCAGGCAAAAAUUCUUUGUCAGUUAGGUGUCAAAAGCCAUUGGAUAUUGAAUCCACCCCUUCCAAGAAAGCAGAAUUCUGUUUAUCAUGUGCCUUUCUUCUGUGUUAAGUCCAUUUUUGUAAAUGUUCGUUUUAUUCCAUCUCCUACUCUUUACCCCUUUUUAAUUUCUUGUCAGUUCAGGGUUGCUACCUUGUAGCAUCCAACAUGAAUGACACUUAGACUCCAGCUGUAUUCCUGUCUCAAGUAACAUUUGCAAACCUCUUUUGUGUAUGUUUCAAUGAACUCAAGCCUUUCAUUUCUUGCUCUGCUUCUCAGCCUUGCAUCAAAAUUACAGGUACAGGGAGAGCAGCAGGUGAGUGUGUCUGUCUUUAAGCAUGAAUUGUGCAUUCACUUCUCUUACCAAAUCUUGAAUUCUAAUGUAUUUCUUACAACACAGAAGGGCAGCAUUAGCAUAGUGUUCUGUGUGGGGGACUGAGGCUCCAGUCAGACUUGCUUUCAUUCCUCUUUAACAGAGAUCCAGAGCAUUGUUCAGUAAGGCAGCUGCUUGCUGUUAUAAGGCUCUGGCUUGGUAUGUCACAUCUCUCUCCAGAAGCUGACUCCUAUAGACAAUAACUCAGAUGGUAUAGACCAAUGCCUCUGAUUCUAAAGGUUUAAUGUUAAUCACCUGCUGGUAAUACAUGGUGGGAAGUCAUUGCACUAAUUUGCUACUGGGUUUGAUGAUUUUUUUCCGGUUGCUAUUGCAAGUGCUCCCACUGCAUAAGCCAGGGGUUCACAGAGGUGAUGUAUAUGCAAGAAGGAUGAGGGAGAAGGCUGCAAACUUGUUCACAUCCUGCUUGAUCUGACAGCAGCUGUGAAUUGUUACCUGUUGGCAAUGUGGCUGGCAGACAGUGCAGUGCUGGCAUUGUAGCAAUGUGAUUUGGCAACUUCUACUCUUGGUGAGAUUAUCGGCUUAAUACCUUGCAAUCCUGAAUAUGAGCUUUCCCUAAGGUAGUCCCAUUGCUGUGGGGAGGAUUUGCCAGAAGACCUGAUAAAAGCCAUGAUUUAAGGUGCAGGGUUUUUUCCAGCGCAUACAAUCACAUGCUUGCCCUUAUCAUUAACAGCAAAAAAUCCCUAAGAAACUUGUUAUUUUGGAAUGACAGUUUCUAACAUUAUUCAUCAAAUUAAAUCUGUGGGAAAGCAAAAGUUGACUUGGUAACCUUGGUUACUUGGGUUAUUAUGAAGGGGUCAGCUUUGUAGGAGAGCUGCCUGAGGAAGAUGAGCCAGUGUGUUCCAAGGUCCCUCUGUCCUUUAUUACUAAUAAAUAAUCUUUUGGGUGGAGAUUGGCAGCUGAGUUUGGGGAUUGGACAGCUGAAGGUGGCAAGUGUCAUGCUCCCAUCCCACCUUCCUGUGUACAAGCCCAGCUUCCAGGUUUAUUUUUCUUUAGGACUGCCAUUUCAAAAAUCCUAUGAGAGCACUUGGUGGGUGUUGAGAUUAAUCUGUUUCUUAGGCUGUGUGUGCUGGUAAGGAGAUGGAGGCAUACAGUGAAGAAAAAUCUAGCUAUUCCACAAGAGGGAGCAACCUCCAGCUCAAGCUUUUUUUUUUUUUUUUUUCCUGGUGGGUUUGGGGGUUUUGUUUGUUUGUUUGUGUUUGUUUGUUUAUUUUGGUUUGGUUAUUUGUUUUUUGUUCUUUUUUUUUUAAAUUAAUUUGAUCUGGCGUUAGAAGUACUCAAAGGUCUACAUUUGAAAACGAGAGGGCAGACAUUUCCUCUGCACCCUCUGGACUCCAAGGGUUGUGUUUUCAAAAAGUAAGUGUAAAUUGAUGUUGCUCUGUUUUCUCUCAGGAGAAAAAUAUUGAAAAAUUAUUUUAGUUAGAAUUUGACCUUCAGUCUUUGAUUCUCAAACCCUGUCAGGUGAUAGCUGCAAUAUUGUGGUAACAAGUAUUUUGUGAGGUCAACAAAGUACAAUAAUUGGGAUUCUCUUACUGACUCUGAAUUAAACUGAGUGGUGCAGAUGUGAGGCAAUGGGUGCAGGGCAGUCUGCUUUCUGAAUGGAAUUUGGGCUGCUUCAGUUCAGUUUUUCCAUUUGUGCUUGUGGAAUGACUUAAGGUUAAUUUUGAGGACUGCUUAUUAGUCCUUUUCCCCAGCCAUGUGGAAAAUAGCUACGGGUGCUUUCUGAGGCCAGAAGAUGCUGUUCUCUGAAGCAGCUGCUCUCUUUGAACUUUGCUUGACAGGGCUCCUUUUAUCACUGGUAAAGUGUUUCAUCAAACUGUAUCUGUGGAUACAAAUCACAAAAAGCUGCAGGCUGCCACGCUCCCUGUUUCAAAUUCUUUUUUAUAUGUAAACUCUAUUUUCACCUUUUUGGUCUUUGGAGGAUAGAUAGAAGGCCUUUGGGCUCAUCUAGCUUCAUCCUACACAAUCCAUCCAUCUUAAAAGGCUCCUGUUAACUGUCGCUUCAGGACACCAGUGUGCACACACCUAUUCCAGCAGCAGGGGCUGGCGUGUUUCCAGGAACUGGACUACUCAUGCUAUGAGACAGAGUCGUGACUGUAAGGAAGACUUGAACAGCGAUUCCUGUGCUGAGGUUGCCCUUGGUCCAGGUGGAGGACUUCAUGUCAUGCAUUGCUUACCAGCAUUGUUACAGCCCUGUGGGUGAGAGAGCCACCACCACUCUCUUGUCUGCAGUUUUCAUUUUCCAUGUUGAUUGGGAGGGCUUAUUGAUACAUAAAGGGCACUGACCGGACCUGCUUUUUAUUUCGCUCUCCUUCCUUCUGCUUCUUCAAGUAUGCCCAAAGUACAGGACAUGUCUUUGCUUCUCCUCCAGUUUUCAGGCUGUGCAUCCAUUUCUUACAGGUGUCUGAACAAGGGGUGGGACAGGACACCUCAUAGUGUCCUGAGUGGGUGAAUACCUGACACAUGCACUGAGAGUAAAACUAGAAUCUUGUUAUGGAAAGGUAAACAAAUGUGUUAUUUGAUAGUUCCCUCCUGUAUCAGUCUGAGAAUCAUUUUCAAGGGACUCGAGAGUGAACCAGCUGUCAGCAUGGAAACACAGGCAUUUACCUGAAAUUCUCUAUUGCCAUGCUUAGUGGCUUCCCUUCCAGAGGCCACGCCUGCAUGAUUUACCCUCUGGGUUGGCACUCUGCACCCAACUACCAAUAUAACACUGUUUCUUCCUCUCAGGAUACUGCUGGCAAUGUGAAAAUCUUCUUAGUGGUGCCCUGUGCCUCUGCCAGCUGGGGAAUAUAGGUUUGAAGUAACAACAUGAACUUUAAACAGACCUGUUAGAAAGUUUGAUCUAGGACAGCGGUGAUCUACAUCAGCUUUUAGCACACAAAUGUUGCUGGACUUCAAUUCUAGGAGGUCAGGUUUUACUGCAGUUGAAGUGAUACACUGAUAAGUGCAGCAGGAAGUGAAACUGGUACGUUUGGAUGAGAAUAAAGCACUGUGUUGAAGGUGGUUUAUUUUUCCAUGUUAAAGAUGGGUUAAAUAGUAAUUAUGUAUAAUGUGUUGGGUUUAAUGGGUGUAUUCAUCAAGCUUCUGGUAGGUUGCCUAUGAACAUUUCAUUUGACAGAUCAAGCACUCUAUUCAGGAACUCAGCAUUUUCCUGUAUGUCAUUCUUAUUUUGAGUGUGUAAUGUCCAUAACAUCAGAUGGAUGCACAAUGUUAUAUAAAUGAAGCCCUUGCUGUGAACUGAAUGUGAGAGUUUUUAAUAAAGCUGACUACUGUAAAUCAGAAUCUGCUCUAUGCCAGGCUGUAGUGACAGGGCAGCAUAUACUUUUGAGUACAGUGUAACAAGGGAUUGCCAUCCUUGGGGUGAAACUAGAUGGGGAAAAACAAACUACCUUCUUGUUUGGGGCUACGCAUUGAUGUCCAGAUCAGUGGUGGAGGAGAGCCAGCCAGUCUGUUUAAACAUAUUCCAAGGGCUGCUAAAGUAAACCCAGGACAGCUAGAAAUUGGACUAUGGCCUGCACUAGAUGAUACAAUAGGCUGAUAGAUGGUUACUGAAAAGCCUAUUAACAUCUUGUACUGCUUCAGAAAGUGCAAGUUGGUCUUUGGAUAUUGUCUGAUCAGGGCUGUCCUUCUGGAAGGAAGAAUUGCUGAUGCAGAAGCUGUGCUAGAGUGUAGGGAGGCAACCAUAAACAAAAAGCAUGAAGUAUUGUUCAGAAAAUGGUGAUAGUAUCUGAAGUAAAGCUUUUCACUGCCCUCUAAAAGAAGAAAUGCUUCCUUCCGCAGGUAAGUGAUCUCUUGUGGGUGGACGCUGGUGACUGGUUCCAUUUGCAUUUGUUUUGAACCUGCCAGGUUUCUAGGCUUCUAAAUUCCAGCUAUCAUCGUGCUACAUGUUCCUCAACAAGAAUGAGGCUUUUUUAUAACCUGGUGUUUUAAUACAGAUUUUGUGCUCUGACUUCAAGCUGCUGCUUAAUCUUCUUUCUGCUAACCACAUAGAAACUUUAUAUGCAAGUUGCUUUCUCUAGCCCCCAGUCUCCUGUGCCUCUUUUCUCAUUCUGUUCACUUUACCCAUAUGGUUUCCCAAAUUGUACACUGUCCUCCAACAUUAGUCUCCCCAAUUCCAUAUGCUGAAAUAAAUGUUCAUUGCUCCAA